UACGGAGGGUGCAAGCGUUGUUCGGAAUCACUGGGCGUAAAGGGCGUGUAGGCGGUCUAUCAAGUCUGGUGUGAAAUCCCCUCGCUCAACGAGGGAACUGCGCCGGAAACUGACAGACUAGAGUACCGGAGAGGAAGGUGGAAUUCCCGGUGUAGCGGUGAAAUGCGCAGAUAUCGGGAGGAACACCAAUGGCGAAGGCAGCUCGCUGGGACGGUACUGACGCUGAGACGCGAAAGCGUGGGGAGCAAACAGG
RNAcentral lists this ribosomal RNA (253 nucleotides) under uncultured bacterium. RNAcentral describes it as "partial 16S ribosomal RNA". It matches the Rfam family "Bacterial small subunit ribosomal RNA", at positions 524 to 776 of the family's 1533-position model. The record is from RNAcentral.